CCUACGGGAGGCAGCAGUGAGGAAUAUUGGUCAAUGGACGCAAGUCUGAACCAGCGAUGCCGCGUGCAGGAAGACGGCUCUCUGAGUUGUACACUGCUUUUUUACGAGGGUAAACUCAGAUACGCGUAUCUGUCUGAAAGUAUCGUACGAAUACGGAUCGGCUAACUUCGUGCCAGCAGCCGCGGUACUACAGAGGAUUCAAGCGUUAUCCGGAUUUAUUUGGUUUAACGGGUGCGUAGGCGGUCGGAUACGUUAGAGGUGAAAUCCCGAGGCUCAACUUCGGAAUUGCCUCUGAUACUUUGCGGCUAGAGAGUAGUUGCGGUAGGCGGAAUGUAAGGUGUAGCGGUGAAAUGCUUAGAGAUCAUACAGAACACCGAAUGCGAAGGCAGCUUACCAAGCUACUGCUGACGUUGAGGCACGAAAGCGUGGGGAGCAAACAGGAUUAGAUACCCGAGUAGUC
Molecule: ribosomal RNA, 460 nt
Filed under: uncultured bacterium
Lineage: Bacteria
Description: partial 16S ribosomal RNA
Rfam family: Bacterial small subunit ribosomal RNA
Source: RNAcentral